CCUGCCCUAGACGCAUUGUGGGUGUGGCCACUGUGUCACAUGUGCCUCAGUAGGUGGCAGAGAGGAGAGAGGCUAUGCCUACCCUCAGUGUUCUGACCUAUGAACCUGAAGGAUUAGUAGCUUAACAUU
Molecule: small nucleolar RNA, 129 nt
Organism: Meriones unguiculatus (Mongolian gerbil)
Lineage: Eukaryota; Metazoa; Chordata; Mammalia; Rodentia; Muridae
Source: Ensembl